Molecule: long non-coding RNA, 1117 nt
Filed under: Homo sapiens (human)
Lineage: Eukaryota; Metazoa; Chordata; Mammalia; Primates; Hominidae
Description: non-protein coding KCND3-AS1:1
Source: RNAcentral
GGGGGGUGGGGAGGUGGCAGUGGAAACAAAUGAGUGGCCAAUCAGGCUUUCCAGGAACGUCUCAUCAUGACACACUGCUCUCUGCCAACUGCCAGAGCUGAGCGGAAUAAAGAUGAGUGUGUGAGGACCCUAUUGAGGGGGCACAAUGAUAGUACCCUGCCUAAUCUCGGCCAAGGGAUCGAGAGUCAGAGGGACAUUUUGUCCAUGUGAAUGUCUCUUUGCUGAGUGACAGGUUAUUGAUCAGCAUGAGAUGGGAGAACCAAACAGCAAACGGUAACACAGAAAGCAAAAGGCCCUUCAAGAAACAGAAAAGGAAAAGUCCUGUUGUCAAGACCUCCAAGGACAAGAACCAGUGAAGCCUGGGCCAUUGUGAGGAUUGAAUGAGCUAAUGCAUGCCCACGUGCCCACCUCAUGGUGGGAGCAAGCCAUUGCCUCCCCCUCAGAGGACCCAGUGGAGAGAAGGUUGACAGCUUGGCAUUCUCUUUGGAAUGGCUGUUGACUUCGCACUGCCAUCCACAGAAGAGCUCCAUAACCCCACCCAAGGGCACGGAAUGGCCUUUCCUUAAAGGUGAAGCACAACAUCAUUCUCAAGUGCCUUUGCAAAUGUAUGUGAACAGUCUUUCAAGGCUCAUAUCAAGAAGUCUCCAGUUCACACUCCUGUCCCAAUAUCCAGUGCCCGACAUUGAGCCCCUGGGGCUUUCUGAUCAAGAGUGGGGAGGACAACCAGCCAGAGUGGGCAGCUGAGGUCACCUGGAGUAAUUAAUCCUAAAGUUUACUGGUGCCUGUUCUGCUGGGGAGCAGGAAUCCAAUUACCCACAGUGACAGCAGCUUAGUCCCUGGGGAGAUACUCAUCUGCAGGGCGGCCAACAACCUGUCCACCUGAAAUCUUCCCGAGAAGCAACACCAACCUCCACCCCCUUCACUUUCUCCGCACACCCUAGCCAGGCACAGACCUCAGCUAACCAGGACAUUGCCCAGGCCACACUGCCUGGGUUGUGGUACAAAGGAGUGAAUUCUGGGAGAUUGGACCAGGACAGCUUCUAGAGGUCUCCUAACAAGAACCCAUUUCUCCUGUAGAACGAAGACCAGAACUGGUCAUUUACCCAGGCCGAGCCAG